UAUGGAAAAGACUGAGGAACAGUUUACUAAUCUGCACAUUGUUAAAUGUUCCUCAGGAACCAGAGAGUACACUUACCUUCUUGGCAUAGAUAUAUCGAAGACUGUGCAAGCAGGAAAAGAAAACUUGGUUGCUGUUUUAUAUUCUAAUGGAUCAAUCAGAAUAUAUGAUAGAGAAAGAUUAAAUGUACUCUGAGAAUUUAGUGGAUAUUCCGGACUUCUUAAUGUCCAGCUCUUCAAAGAUUACCCUUCCAAUAUUUUUAUCCAUUUUGAUAUUAACUGUAAUGAUCAUAUUAUUUGUGCUGGUACAGAAAAGUUGAUGAUGAUGCAUGGUUGGUGUUUUGGGAUGCAAGGAUGAAUUCUCAGGAUUUAUCUUCAACUAAAGACCCGAUUGGUGCAUAUUCAGAGACACAUAGCAAUGAUGUCACUCAAGUACGUUUCCAUCCCAGCAAUCCCAACAUGAUAAUCUCAGGUUCACUUGAUGGCCUGGUAAAUGUAUUUGAUAUUAAUGUUGAUAAUGAAGAGGGCGCACUGGUUACAACCUGUAACUCAAUUUCAUCAGUCAGCUGUAUCAGUUGGUCUGGGAUAGGUUACAAACAGAUUUACUGCAUGACACAUGAAAGAUUUUACUGGUGGGAUCUUAAUCAUCUGGAUGCUGAUGAACCAAUUACAUGUUAGAACAUCCAGGAUGUCGGAGAAAUGGUUAAUGUGAAAGAAGAUAUUUUAGACUAUUUGAUUGGUGGCCUAUAUCAUGAAAAGAUGGAAACAUUGCUUGUUAUCCUUCCUUUGGAUAACAAAGGAAGGAUUCAGUUGAUGAACAUUAGGAUUGGCCCAUGUGACUAGCCUUCAGGGAGGGCAUGCUGUACAGUUCGUUCUUUCUGUUGGAAUGUGCAGGAUGAUUCUUUGUUGACUGGAGGAGAAGAUGCACAGUUAUACUUCGGAAACCUGGAGCUAUAGAGAAGGCCUUUAUAAAGAAAGAGAGCAUGAAAAUGGCAUCCUCUGCGCACCAACAAGUACGAGUUAAUAGUAAUGAUUCUUAUAAAAGAAAGAAAAAGC
RNAcentral lists this long non-coding RNA (1053 nucleotides) under Homo sapiens (human). RNAcentral's name for it is "non-protein coding lnc-PTPN2-8:1". Lineage: Eukaryota; Metazoa; Chordata; Mammalia; Primates; Hominidae. The record is from RNAcentral.